This 434-nucleotide ribosomal RNA is filed under the name uncultured Lachnospiraceae bacterium. RNAcentral describes it as "partial 16S ribosomal RNA". It matches the Rfam family "Bacterial small subunit ribosomal RNA", at positions 341 to 792 of the family's 1533-position model. Lineage: Bacteria; Bacillati; Bacillota; Clostridia; Lachnospirales; Lachnospiraceae. The record is from RNAcentral.
ACGGAAGGCAGCAGUGGGGGAUAUUGCACAAUGGGGGAAACCCUGAUGCAGCGACGCCGCGUGAGCGAAGAAGUAUUUCGGUAUGUAAAGCUCUAUCAGCAGGGAAGAAAAUGACGGUACCUGACUAAGAAGCUCCGGCUAAAUACGUGCCAGCAGCCGCGGUAAUACGUAUGGAGCAAGCGUUAUCCGGAUUUACUGGGUGUAAAGGGAGCGUAGACGGUUUGCCAAGUCUGAUGUGAAAGGUGGGGGCUCAACCCCCAAACUGCAUUGGAAACUGGUAGACUAGAGUGUCGGAGAGGUAAGUGGAAUUCCUAGUGUAGCGGUGAAAUGCGUAGAUAUUAGGAGGAACACCAGUGGCGAAGGCGGCUUACUGGACUGUAACUGACGUUGAGGCUCGAAAGCGUGGGGAGCAAACAGGAUUAGAUACCCUGGUA